This is a long non-coding RNA of Callithrix jacchus (white-tufted-ear marmoset), 2026 nucleotides long. The record is from Ensembl. Lineage: Eukaryota; Metazoa; Chordata; Mammalia; Primates; Cebidae.
CUACGCAUUGUGACUUUAAUCCCUGACAAUCUUGGGUGAGAGACAUUUUAUUGAUGACCCUCCUAACACUGAUCUGUGGAAGACUAAUUCUGUCUCUUUCCAGUACUCCCGGAUGCAACUGCACCCAAUAGGUAUGUGUCACACGAGAGAUGUAGCUACAAACAUCUUUUCCUUUUGCCAAUUCACACUUUUAUUAGCCACGUUAUCAUAAGCAAGGGUGGCUUGUUCUUAGUACAUUUUAGAUGGCUCUUCUCUUGAAACAUUGUCAUUUCCUCUAAAUGUUUGGCCAUUAUCAGCUGGCUGUAGUGUUAAGUCUUGGUUUUUCCUUUCUCACUUCCAUUUUUAGCCCAUGGAACUAAAGCUAACUCAUUUCAGGUAGUGCAACGUGAGACACAUCAUUUGGUGCUCCUGACACUGAGGUCUCACAACUGUGAAGGGGUGUCAUGUUCCCUGGUCUACCCAUCACUCAGGACAUCAAAUCCUGGGGCUCUCUUCACAAACAGACCUUGUAGAUUUCCGUGAUUCUGACAACUGUGUUGCAGCAGAUAGCAGCUGGUGGCUUUUCUAAUGCAUUGCAAAGGCAGUUCGGGCUGGUUGUGGAACAGAAAGUGCUGUGUGGGCCGGAUGACUGUUCUAGCCACGCGCUGUGGAGGGUGAGGUGCCUGCUACUCCCAUACUGUCACAUGUUGGUGUCAAGCCUGCAGGGCAGAGGCUAUGGAGCACCUGCCUCUACUGAGGUGGCCUGGCGGCAUCACCUGCUGAGCUGUCUGUACCAAGGCAGCUGAAGCCUACACAGAAACCUCCUUGUGCAACUCUCCACGUGAACCAGUCACUGGAACUGCGGUGCCCUGGGCGAGAGAUUAACGAGAUUUCACCAGUUAGAAAAGGAAUCACAAACCCCCUAGGGAGCCACGGCAUCCCUGCUAUGCUGGCCUUUGUCCCGCUGCAGUGCAAGUGUCCCUGGCUCCAGGCCUUUGCAGGUUUGCAAGGUGAGUUGUUGGCUCCUUCUUGCAUUCAUGUUUCAGUCUAAAUGACAUCUCCUUAAGGGACACUUCUUUUCCCCUGAUCUAAAGGAGCCUCCAAGGAUCAUCUGAGAUGCCUGCUUUCUUCAUUCAAAUCGUAAUAAUCCUGCAGUUUCUUGUUUGUUACUUAUUCCCCUACCCCAACAAACAAACGGCCUUGUGAAGAAGCCCCUGGUCUGCUACUGUUACUGUGAAGGCCCUGUCCCAUCACCUGGCAUCUAGCAGACCCCUGAGAAAUGCUUUCCUGUCUCAGGAACUGCCCUGAGAAUAUUUUGAAGUAACUAAUGAGAUGUCUGUAUAUAUUUUAAUAUGCAAAACUAGCAUAAUUACCCUAGCAGAACUGUAGAAUGUAGCUUAUGGAGAAAACAAACGUAACACUUCCUCAUGGUAAAUUGGACUAUGCAAAGUGUGUAUGCAGUGACAAAUAUUUCCUAGGUUAUUAGUGCAGUAACAAAGAUGGAACAGGCCUAAUUUUGGCUGUGGCUUGACACUUGAGAAGACCAGCAAUUACGUAGAAUUUUUUUUCUGCCUCUUUCUCCUGACUGACAUAUUUCUUGUAAAUUAUAAGGGAAAAGUAAUUUUUAAACAUAAAAAUUAUAUUGCUUACAGAAUUUUCCUCCAAAUGAUCAUAUAAAAAUCUCUUUUGGCCAGGUGUGGUGAUUCACACCUAUAAUCCCAGCACUUUGGGAGGCUGAGGCAGGUGGAUCACCUGAGGUCAGGAGAUUGAGACCAGCCUGGCCAACAUGGGGAAACCCUGUUUCUACAAAACAUACAAUAAUUACCCGGAUAUGGUGGCAUGUGCCUGUAAUACCAGCUACUCGGGAGGCUAAGGCUGGAGAAUCUCUUGAACCCAGGAAGCAGAAGUUGCAGUGAGCAGAGAUUGUGCCAGGCACUCCAGCCUGAGUGACAGGAGUGAAACUUUGUCUCAAAAAAAAAAACAAAAAAACAAAAAAAACUCUCCUAAGCUGCAGGCCAAUAUAGAGGUGGAGGUGUUUAGGGACCAA